CGGAUAUUCACAUUACAAUGCAUGUCUCUUUAAUAUGUGUAUAUAUUUGUAAGCUGGACGGAUAUGUUCUUGGAUGAUCAGUCCUGAUUACAAGAUGGAGGGAAGCCGGAGACUCGGUGCUGCUCUAUUUGGAGUGGGGAGGAUCGGACAGGUCCACCUAAAGAACAUGGUGGACAGUGGGAGACUGACCAUCAGAUGGUUAGUGGACGUACCAGCACAGCAUGGAGUGAUGACUGAACUGAUAGGAGAAACAUGGGUUACAGGGGGAGGCUCAGGUGAUCGACAUCAAGGCCAGUCAAAAGGUGUUCGAAGACCCCAGGGUUGAUGUCGUUAUAAUUUGUACCCCAACGCCAUUUCACUCCGAUAUCAUAAAAAAGGCCUUAUCUGCAGGAAAGCAUGUGAUGUGCGAGAAGCCGUUAACUUUAACAGUUUUAGAUUCAAAAGAGUGUUACGAAGUGGCGAGAAACCAUGACAGAAUUUUAUUCUGCGCCUACAACAGACGUUUUGACAAAC
This is a long non-coding RNA of Saccostrea cuccullata (small rock oyster), 513 nucleotides long. RefSeq lists it as uncharacterized. The record is from RefSeq and is a predicted model, not a curated record. Lineage: Eukaryota; Metazoa; Mollusca; Bivalvia; Ostreida; Ostreidae. The transcript has 5 exons.